This 417-nucleotide RNase P RNA is filed under the name Candidatus Magasanikbacteria bacterium RIFOXYD2_FULL_36_9. RNAcentral describes it as "RNase P RNA component class A". It matches the Rfam family "Bacterial RNase P class A". From Rfam's summary of the family: Ribonuclease P (RNase P) is a ubiquitous endoribonuclease, found in archaea, bacteria and eukarya as well as chloroplasts and mitochondria. Its best characterised activity is the generation of mature 5'-ends of tRNAs by cleaving the 5'-leader elements of precursor-tRNAs. Lineage: Bacteria; Candidatus Magasanikiibacteriota. The record is from RNAcentral.
UGUUUAUAGCGGAUGAUUGCUUUUGCCCACCGUCGCUAACGCUAUGGCGGGUGAAAGAGGAAAGUCCGAACGUCCUUCUUUGCAAAAAGAAAAAGGAUAGUGGGUAACACCCACCAGUUUGAUGGAAACAUCAAACGAGGGAAAGCGGCACAGAGACAAUACUAAUUUCGAUUCGUCGAAAUAAAAGGUGAAAAGAAUAUGGAGGUUCUGAUUCUAGAAACAGAGCUACCAUAUACCCAUCGUUGUGAAACGAUGUGGUGCCAAGCCCUGUCUGGCGCAAGAGCAGCCCUGAGAUUGAGAGGUCUCUUGGAAAAGUUCGCUCGCUAAUGAUUUUGACAGUAAUGUCAAAGCUAGAUAAAUGAUCAUCGUGUCGACCUAGUCGACAUACAGAAUUCGGCUUAUAGCUAUAAACACCCA